AGUACUCAGGUAAGCGAUGUGGCCCAUGGGCCUCUUGUUUAAUAUUAUGGGUUGGUAUUUUAAAGACUUGACAAAAUUCAGGUCUACAUUUCUAUGAAUAAUCUAAAAUAUGUCAUGAAUACAAUGACAUUAGUUUUCAAGACAUUGAAGCUAUACAGAAAUAUUUACUCAUUGUACUGAGUUUAUUUUGACAGGUCUCCCAGGAUGUGCUGUUGAAGUAUGUAAAGCUUAAGAAGUGGAAGAAGUCACCAUUUUGACAGGUGUCCCAGGAUGUGCUGUUUAACUACGUAAAGCUAAAGAAGUGGAAGAAGUCACCAUUUUGACAGGUCUCCCAGGAUGUGCUGUUUAACUAUGUAAAGCUAAAGAAGUGGAAGAAGUCACCAUUUUGACAGACAGGUUUAAUUGAGAACACUUGGAGGCUGUAAU
Long non-coding RNA from Saccostrea cuccullata (small rock oyster), 426 nucleotides. RefSeq lists it as uncharacterized. The record is from RefSeq and is a predicted model, not a curated record. NCBI's taxonomy places the organism in Eukaryota, Metazoa, Mollusca, Bivalvia, Ostreida, Ostreidae. The transcript has 4 exons.